This 71-nucleotide transfer RNA is filed under the name Phrynosoma platyrhinos (Desert horned lizard). RNAcentral's name for it is "tRNA-OTHER". The record is from RNAcentral. Lineage: Eukaryota; Metazoa; Chordata; Lepidosauria; Squamata; Phrynosomatidae.
GCCAGUGUGGUGUAGAGGUCUGAGCAUUGGACUAUGACUCUGGAGAUCAGGGUUCAAAUCCCUGACAGCCA